This is a long non-coding RNA of Mustela erminea (ermine), 447 nucleotides long. RefSeq lists it as uncharacterized. Lineage: Eukaryota; Metazoa; Chordata; Mammalia; Carnivora; Mustelidae. The record is from RefSeq and is a predicted model, not a curated record. The transcript is spliced from 3 exons.
UGGGACUGUGAGGUCCAUGAUCCAAAAGGCCAUCUUUGUUUCUCCCCUGUGCCUGGCAUACAACAGCUCUGGCUCCCACUCCUCUGCCCAGGGCACAGCUUUCACCACCUGAUGCUUGCGUUGGAACCACAGCUUUUUACUAGCAGCUGACAGGGAUUACUUUUCAAAUGGAUACUCCUCUGAGCGGGUUUGCAUUUGGGAUGCCCCCAAAUUCACCUGCUCCCUCUGGCCGCCUCUUGCUAACCGCCAACCCAGAAGCAUUUGUGUGGAAAGAGCGGAGUGUGCUGCCUGUGGUCGGAGACAGAAAUGUAUCCUCGGCGCCAAAGAAAAUUGACAGCGUGGCACAACAAAGCGUCCUGAUUCAGCACAGCGGGUACAAGACUGAGAGACACUCCUGACUUAAGGACAGGCCACAAAACAGCACGUCCGGGAGGAGGUGAGAAGUGU